This 101-nucleotide transfer RNA is filed under the name Gymnopus androsaceus JB14. It matches the Rfam family "tRNA". From Rfam's summary of the family: Transfer RNA (tRNA) molecules are approximately 80 nucleotides in length. The record is from Rfam by way of RNAcentral. Lineage: Eukaryota; Fungi; Basidiomycota; Agaricomycetes; Agaricales; Omphalotaceae.
UCCGAUAUGGUGUAGUGGCUAACAUUAUCGCCUCUCAUCGUGAAUGAAUAAUGAAUAAUGCUGAAGCGCGAUAGCCCGGGGUUCAAUUCCCCGUCUCGGAA